AUCUUAGAAAUAUCACGUCACGUCUGGCUUCCUAGAGAACAUCCUUAUCUCUGGGCUUCUGAAAUCAAAUGUCUGUGCAUUUAUAGAGCAUUUCCCCUCUUUUUAUGUGCCUCCCACAGUGAUCUUCCACCCUGCCCCACGGCAAGAAGAGUUUGGUGAUUUUGCUGCUCUGCUCUCUCAAGGGUGUUGCAGGCUGCGUAGCAGGGAGUGAAGCCCUUGUCGCUGCUCAUCAGACACUUUCCUGCAGAAUUCUCCCUGCAGUGAUAAAAUUAGACUGGUGUUAGUGAGCUGCCAAGUAGAGCAGGUAACAUUGGACAAGAAUGGUUUCUGAGCUGCUGUUCACUAGCACGUGUUUCCCCUUUCCAGCGCGGUGCCGCCGCCCAAGAAAGGAUUUUUGUGGGUCAGCCAGAUGUGCUCCUGCCUCCCACUGAGGCUCUGAGAUGGAGCCGAGUUUGCAUUCCAGUUUAUUGCAACAGAGGGUCACGGGAAAUUUCCUCAGCUAUCUCAGGCACAGAGCCAUGGAAGCAAGACAGCACGAAGACUGAACGUGUAAGAAGAUGUGGGGUGCAAUGGAGAACCUGGCAGGAGCAUCCGACGCACACGUGCACGAGUUUUGCUUUUUGCUUGGAUUGAAACUCAAAAGUUGUAAGGAAUUUGGGAAUGAGAUGGGACGUUUCAGAAGAAGAGGAAGGAGGAGAAGAAGUUGUUGUUACAGUCCUGGCAAAAUCCUUUGUUCUAGCUAAUAAAAGAAGUUA
Long non-coding RNA from Haemorhous mexicanus (house finch), 755 nucleotides. RefSeq lists it as uncharacterized. The transcript is spliced from 2 exons. NCBI's taxonomy places the organism in Eukaryota, Metazoa, Chordata, Aves, Passeriformes, Fringillidae. The record is from RefSeq and is a predicted model, not a curated record.